UCUUUCUUUCUUUCUCUCUCUCUCUCUCUCUCUCUCUCUCUCUCUCUCUCUCUCUCUCUCUCUCUCUCUCUCUCUCUCUCUCUCUCUCUCUCUCUCUCUCUCUCUCUCUCUCGGAGGACCUAAGCCCUAGGACCAUGCCUCAGGACUACCUGGCCUGAUGACUCCGUGCUGUCCCCAGUCCACCUGGCUGUGCUGCUGCUCCAGUUUCAACUGUUCUGCCUGCGGCUAUGGAACCCUGACCUGUUCACCAGAUGUGCUACCUGUCCCAGACCUGCUGUUUUCAACUCUCUAGAGACAGCAGGAGCAUUAGAGAUACUCUGAAUGUUUGGCUAUAAAAAGCCAACUGACAUUUACUCCUGAGGUGCUGACCUGUGGCACCCUCGACAACCACUGUGAUUUUUAUUAUUUACCCAUCUAUAUAUAGCUCAGGGUCCUGGAGAGCUGCUGUACUGGGUGAAUGACACCUGUCUCAAUCAAUGAGAUAAUUUUUAUUUUAUUUUAAUAAUAACUUAGCAUUUUCUAAAUUCAAAAGGACCCCUUGCAACCUGUCACAGACAUUUGAUGACACUUCCUUUUCGACAAAUCGAGGACAAAGACGCUAUCGCUAAGGCCCAUCCCUCCCCCAUGUCAUCGAUGGCCAGACGCCUCCUGAGGGUUUGACCACGGGGCAGGGGUUUCCAGUACCUGGUUGACUGUGAGGGUUAUGGCCCAGAGGAGAGGUGCUGGGUCCCUGCUAAAGACAGCCAGAUAUGCGCCCAGGAUGUCGGUGGGCGGAGCCGGGAGGGUCUUCAGAGAAAUGGGACACACCUGGGCUCGGGUGUGUCCCAGGAUAAAUGCACCUCUUCCCCAUUGGGGAGACUCUCUCCAUGCAGACACCUUUAUAGAUUUUGUUGUGGUAUUUUUGUGGCCUUUUGGUUGUUUGCUCAACACCCCGCAUUAUCACAUUUAUGCAUGCAAAACACUCACUUACACCACUGAUUACACACACCAUUGUUAAUUGUAUUUAGUUUACUUUAUUUAAGAAAUAUAUAUAUAUGUCUCCACAUUGUCUCCCUUUUGUUACGAACUUCGAGCCGGUUCGUGACACUUCUGGACUCUUUACCCACCUGCCUGACCAUUCUGCCUGCCUUAACCUCAAGCCUGUCUGCCAUGCUGCACCUCCUGGCCUCUGAAAUGGUUUUGACCUUUUGCGUGUCCACGACAAUUCUCUUG
Molecule: long non-coding RNA, 1212 nt
Organism: Oncorhynchus nerka (sockeye salmon)
Lineage: Eukaryota; Metazoa; Chordata; Actinopteri; Salmoniformes; Salmonidae
Exons: 3
Source: RefSeq, a predicted model, not a curated record